CCGGCGCCGGUCCGGGAGCCGGCUGCUCCCAGGAGCCGCGCAGCGUGGCGUGCCGCUGCAGGGCUCGUGCUCCGCGGCACCGGUCGUUAAGCGUCGAGGUGUUCAGGAGUGAGACGCUUGACUCAGCCAAUAUAUCAAGCGGCAAUUCAAUUUAUUAAUUAAUAUGGACUUCUGUCCAGUGUGGAAAAGGCAGAAAUGACCGAGAAGGAGGAUCCAAGAAUGAGAAAAGAUGGAAAAACACAGAUUUGGGUUAUUUUAUA
Vidua chalybeata is the source of this 260-nucleotide long non-coding RNA. RefSeq lists it as uncharacterized. The record is from RefSeq and is a predicted model, not a curated record. Lineage: Eukaryota; Metazoa; Chordata; Aves; Passeriformes; Viduidae. The transcript has 2 exons.